This 766-nucleotide long non-coding RNA is filed under the name Macaca mulatta (Rhesus monkey). RNAcentral's name for it is "lncRNA (ENSMMUG00000064563.1)". Lineage: Eukaryota; Metazoa; Chordata; Mammalia; Primates; Cercopithecidae. The record is from RNAcentral.
CCACCAGGCUUGGGUGGACCCCACCUUGGAAGCAAUUCUGAAUAUGGGUCAGCAAGUCUAGAUUCAGCUGCCCGACAGCUGUUUUGUGACAGCCCUUGGGUCCUCCAAAUCAGCCUACCUCUUUGGAAUGCUGGGGAGACCCCAGUUAUGGAGAAAACAUGGUUCUGACCCUCAGGGGAGUACAGUCGGGUCACGGAGGCAGGGUGUAUAUGGCAACCGAGGAUUUCAUAGAAGGGCUCCAGGAGGGAUGACCUACUGCAGGAUGGAGGCCCUGGCUGCAGAUCUGGGAACCUCCCUCCUACUGGGAAGAAGCACAUUGCCGUCAUUCAGUCUCUUGUGAGUUGGGUUAUUAUGAGUCUGUUCGCCAGAGUCUGAGCUCUGAAAGGGAUGAGUGACUGGAUUGGUAAGGCAGAGAACUGACCCUCCUUCCAGCUGCAGAGAACUGCCAAGUCCCAUUCUUCGUGACAUCCUUCCUGUGUUGACACAGUGUUCUCCCCUCUCUUUAAAAUAACAACCUUUACUUGACCCUGCUGCCCAGGAACUUUCCUCUAAGAUUCUGCCAGGCUAUGCAGAGGGCAGACGUGAAUGCAGGCUAUAAAUCAGGAGCCCUCGUGACUCUUAGAUCCAUUAAUCCAUCAAGAGAAGAUUUGCUACCUCUUAGUGUUGAGGGAGAGACCAGAAAUCCUCUCACAGGAUUGACUAAAGGCUCAGGCACUACAUUUGAUACAAUUUACGACUCAGCACUUAGUGUGGUGAGCCUCAGGGG